RNAcentral lists this ribosomal RNA (460 nucleotides) under uncultured Bacteroidota bacterium. RNAcentral describes it as "bacterial SSU rRNA". It matches the Rfam family "Bacterial small subunit ribosomal RNA", at positions 338 to 795 of the family's 1533-position model. Lineage: Bacteria; Pseudomonadati; Bacteroidota. The record is from RNAcentral.
CCUACGGGCGGCUGCAGUGAGGAAUAUUGGUCAAUGGGCGUAAGCCUGAACCAGCCAUCCCGCGUGAAGGAAGAAGGCGCUAUGCGUCGUAAACUUCUUUUCCAGAAGAAGAAAACCCCCGACGUGUCGGGGCUUGCCGGUACUCUGGGAAUAAGCAUCGGCUAACUCCGUGCCAGCAGCCGCGGUAAUACGGAGGAUGCGAGCGUUAUCCGGAUUUAUUGGGUUUAAAGGGUGCGUAGGCGGAUUAAUAAGUCAGUGGUGAAAACCUUCAGCUUAACUGGAGACUUGCCAUUGAUACUGUUAGUCUUGAGUACGGUCAAGGUAGGCGGAAUGUGUAAUGUAGCGGUGAAAUGCUUAGAUAUUACACAGAACACCGAUUGCGAAGGCAGCUUACUGGGCCAUUACUGACGCUGAUGCACGAAAGCGUGGGGAGCGAACAGGCUUAGAUACCCCGGUAGUC